GGUUGUAGUUACACGUGGGCAAUUAUGCCCUUCACUCUGGGACAAGCCCUGGAAACGGGUCUAAUACCGGAUAUCAUCCUUCAGGCAUCCUUUAGGGUCGAAAGCUCCGGCGGUGAAGGAUGAGCCCUCGGCCUAUCAGCUUUGUUGGUGAGCUAAUGGCUCACCAAGGCGACAGACGGGUAACCGGCCUGAGAGGGCGACCGGCCACACUGGGACUGAGACACGGCCCAGACUCCUACGGGAGGCAACAGUGGGGAACUAUUGCACAAUGGGCGAAAGCCUGAGUGCAAACCAGACGCCGCGUGAGGGAUGACCGGCCUUCGGGUUGUAAACCUCUUUCAGGCAGGGAAGAAGCGAAAGUGACGGUACCUGCAGUAAGAAGCGCCGGCUAAUCUACGAUAGUCCAGCAGCCGCUGGUAAUACUGUAGGGCGCACAGCGUUGUCCGGAAUUAUUCGGGCGUAAAGAGCUCGUAGCGCGGCUUGUCACGUCGCGAGUGUGAAGAUGCCCGGGGCUUAAACCCCGGGUCUGCAUUCGAUACGGGCUAAGCUAGAGUGUGGUAGAGGGAGAUCGGAAUUCCCUGGUAGUAGCGGUGAAAUGCGCAGAUUAUCAGGAGGAACACCAGGUGGCUGAAGGCGGCACUCCUCUGGGCCAAUACUGACGGCUGAUGGAUGCUGAAAGCUGUGGGCAGCUGAACAGGAUUAGAUACCCUGGUAGUCCACGCCGUAAACGGUCGGGAAACUAGCGAGUUGGCCGACAUUACCACGUCGUCGGUGCCGUCAGCUUAACUGCAUGUAACGUUCCCCGACCUGGUGGAGUAACGCGCCGGCAUAGGCUAAAACGUCAAAGGAAUAGACGGGGGCCCGGCACUAAGACAGGCGGAGCAUAGUGGCUUAAUUCGACGCAACGCGAAGAACCUUACCAAGGCUCUGACAUACACCGGAAACGUCUGGAGACAGGCGCCCCCAUUGUGGUCGGUGUACAGGUGGUGCAUGGCUGUCAGUCAGCUCGUGUCGUGAGAUGUUGGGUUAAGUCCCGCAACGAGCGCAACCCUUGUCCUGUGUUCGCCACGCAUGCCCUUCGGGGUGACUGGGGACUCACAGGAGAGCCGCCGGGGUCAAACUCGGAGGAAGGAUAGGGUGACGACUGUCAAGUCAGUCACUGCCCGCGUCUAUGUACUUGGUGACGUGCACACAGCUAGCUUACAAUGGCCGGUACAAUGAGACGUGCUGAAACCGUCUGAGGUAGGAGCGAAUCUCUAAAAAGCCAGGUCUCAGUUCGGACUUGGGGUCAUGCAACCUCAGACCCCAUGAAGUCAGGAGUUGCUAGUAAUCGCAGAUCAAGCAAUUGACUGUCGGUGAAUACGUUCCUCGGGCCUUGUACACACCAGCCCGUCACGAUCACGAAAGUUGGUAACACCACGAAGCCGGUGGCCCAACCCCCUUGUGGGAGGGAAGCUGUCGUCAGGUGGUAGAUCCUGACUGAGGAAC
RNAcentral lists this ribosomal RNA (1488 nucleotides) under Streptoalloteichus sp. CC1J. RNAcentral's name for it is "bacterial SSU rRNA". It matches the Rfam family "Bacterial small subunit ribosomal RNA". Lineage: Bacteria; Bacillati; Actinomycetota; Actinomycetes; Pseudonocardiales; Pseudonocardiaceae. The record is from RNAcentral.